This 463-nucleotide ribosomal RNA is filed under the name uncultured bacterium. Its description in RNAcentral is "bacterial SSU rRNA". It matches the Rfam family "Bacterial small subunit ribosomal RNA", at positions 1 to 507 of the family's 1533-position model. The record is from RNAcentral.
CAGUAGUCACGAGUUUGAUCCUGGCUACAGAACGAACGCUGGCGGCAUGCCUAACACAUGCAAGUCGAACGAGACCUUCGGGUCUAGUGGCGCACGGGUGCGUAACGCGUGGGAACCUGCCUUUAGGUUCGGAAUAACUCAGAGAAAUUUGAGCUAAUACCAUAUAAUGUCUUCGGACCAAAGAUUUAUCGCCCUGAGAUAAGCCCGCGUAGGAUUAGCUAGUUGGUGAGGUAAAGGCUCACCAAGGCGACGAUCCUUAGCUGGUCUGAGAGGAUGAUCAGCCACACUGGGACUGAGACACGGCCCAGACUCCUACGGGAGGCAGCAGUGGGGAAUAUUGGACAAUGGGCGAAAGCCUGAUCCAGCAAUGCCGCGUGAGUGAUGAAGGCCUUCGGGUUGUAAAGCUCUUUUACUCGGGACGAUAAUGACGGUACCGAGAGAAUAAGCCCCGGCUAACUCCGUG